UCGGCUAACGCAGGGCUGCUUUUGCGCUACUCGGACCCUGAUUGCCUAGGGAACCACCAUGGGCGAUGGGUUCGUGGCGCAGAGCAGCAUGGAGGAGGAAGAAGCUGCCUGCCGUUGCCUCGAAGAAAAUGGCUAAGGUGAGGCGCUAUGGACGCAUUCACAUCCUAAUCGGCUCCUUUUGCACGUUUGCCACUAGCGUGUUUUUCAGCCCAUGGAGGAAAAGGAGAAUGCUGCUGUGUGGGCCCCGUUCCUCAUGUUUGACCUCGUUGCUUGGGCCAGCCGCCAGCCUCCGGUUCUGGUAUGCAAAAGUCCAACUUCCCUAUGCAAUACGACUAUACAUUUUAGCUGUUGUAUAUCCUUGUCUAGGAUCUCGUCACCUCGCUUUGGAAGUUGGUGUUGAAUACUGCGCCAUGCCCGUAUAAUAAUUCACCAGCUACGUAUAUCUAUGCAUAUCUUUCUGGCUCAUUGGUACGACCCUGACGCUCAGGAAAACCAAACUGUAAACUAUCAACAACUUACUGUCAGUAUUUGCAUGUCACCGGCGAAAAUCGACAGCCAUUGACAUGAUAGCCGUUGAUAGAUUCUCACCGCUAGCGCGCGGAAUAGGAAAAUUAUUUACUGGAAAAAAAGGAGUUAGGUCGUAUUUUUUUCAGCUGUCAUUUGAAAAAAUUGUGCCCUUACACGUGGAGCUUCUUUGCUGAGAAGGCGGGUUUCUUUCAUUAUUGAACAGGGAAAGAAAGGCGGGCGUCGUCGUCGACGCAUGAAAGGAACCGGUGCUGAAGAUUCCAGCGUCUGCAAGGCACUUCUCUUCUUUUUCCGCUAGUGGUAGGUACAUGUAGAGAGCACUUGGAGCUUAUCUCUGGGAUGGAGCGCGCACAUAAUCUGAUCUGAUAAAGCAAUCAAUGAUUAACGUCGUCGUCGAACGUCGUUGAUGUGUGUGGGUGCGUGGUUUGAUUGCUCAACUCAAAGGCGGAUAAUGGCGAGAUUUGGUGUGAGGCGCGGCCCGUAGACCCGCACUAGUUCGCAGAUUUUGAGUGCAGUUCUUCUGCUUCAUUACCUUUUUUCAAAUUAUGUAUGCAGUUUCUCUUCCUUUUGUUUUGUUUUUGCAUGUACCUUUUCUUUCUACCUGUUGGUCGAAAUACGCCGGAAAGGUAUUUUUGGGAGUGGGUGGGUACCCCGUUCUUGACCCUGCCCGAGGCGUUUACUUUUUGGAGCUCCGUUGGGGAGGGAGAGGGAGGGGUGAUGUGCACGUCUGCAGGAAGCUUUUCUUUCCGGUUUGUUUUCCUCCUUUGGACCUACCGAGAGUAUGACCUAGAGGCCACCUCCUCUCUGACCCAUGCACGGAUCACGACAAGAAAACACACAUCAAGCAGCGAGCUAGCGUAGCGUGCGUGGGAUUCAAUUCGAGAUGGCCACUUGAGCAAAAGUCGCCGGAGGCUGUAGCAGCCAUGGAGCUGUGAGCUGCAUGCAUGUGCUGUCGCACAUUCCAGUCUACGUUGAUGGAUCCAUCGAUCCACGUAGAGAUAUGGAUCAAACUACUAAAUGCCAUCCACGGAGUACCAUCUUCUUAUUUUUGCGGGGAGAAGAUGCCAUCCAUCCACUAUCUGCAAGUGAG
This 1615-nucleotide long non-coding RNA is filed under the name Triticum aestivum (bread wheat). RNAcentral describes it as "long non-coding RNA (TAES_LNC018363)". Lineage: Eukaryota; Viridiplantae; Streptophyta; Magnoliopsida; Poales; Poaceae. The record is from RNAcentral.